ACUGGGCCUUGUAACGUGGGCCUGUAACCCAAGUGGGAGCAAUAAGGUGAUAGAACAUUAGGCCCAUUUGGAUGGUUAUUGGGCUUUGUUUAAUGCUAGUCUUGCCCCUAUCCAAGCAUUGAGUUGGGCCUUGUUGUUGUGUCCAUGCGACGGCAUGGACGCCGUGCCCUCUCCUCAAAAAGGAGGGCACGGUGUCAGGCUGGUUUCACGGAGCAGCGAUAUUGUCCUUCUUUGUGUAGUGGAAGGAUGCCAGGCUGGCGCUUUCACGGCCCCUAGCUUGUCGAGAUGGGUACUCCUAAUUGGACCUUCACCUUU
RNAcentral lists this signal recognition particle RNA (315 nucleotides) under Solanum lycopersicum (tomato). RNAcentral's name for it is "Plant signal recognition particle RNA". It matches the Rfam family "Plant signal recognition particle RNA". The record is from Rfam by way of RNAcentral. Lineage: Eukaryota; Viridiplantae; Streptophyta; Magnoliopsida; Solanales; Solanaceae.